GUGAACGCUGGCGGUAGGCCUAACACAUGCAAGUCGAACGGCAGCACAGAGGAGCUUGCUCCUUGGGUGGCGAGUGGCGGACGGGUGAGGAAUACAUCGGAAUCUACUCUGUCGUGGGGGAUAACGUAGGGAAACUUACGCUAAUACCGCAUACGACCUACGGGUGAAAGCAGGGGAUCUUCGGACCUUGCGCGAUUGAAUGAGCCGAUGUCGGAUUAGCUAGUUGGCGGGGUAAAGGCCCACCAAGGCGACGAUCCGUAGCUG
This 264-nucleotide ribosomal RNA is filed under the name uncultured bacterium. RNAcentral describes it as "partial 16S ribosomal RNA". It matches the Rfam family "Bacterial small subunit ribosomal RNA", at positions 29 to 289 of the family's 1533-position model. The record is from RNAcentral.